AACGAACGCUGGCGGCGUGCCUAACACAUGCAAGUCGAACGAGAAAGGGGCUUCGGCUCCGAGUAAAGUGGCGCACGGGUGAGUAACACGUAGGUAACCUGCCUCUAAGAUUGGGAUAACUUGUCGAAAGAUGAGCUAAUACCAAAUAAGACCACGGUUCCCUCGGGGACAGAGGUCAAAGGUAGCCUCUAUUUAUAAGCUAUCGCUGAGAGAUGGGCCUGCGUACCAUUAGCUAGNGGUG
RNAcentral lists this ribosomal RNA (241 nucleotides) under uncultured bacterium. RNAcentral's name for it is "partial 16S ribosomal RNA". It matches the Rfam family "Bacterial small subunit ribosomal RNA", at positions 29 to 253 of the family's 1533-position model. The record is from RNAcentral.